UAAUACGUAGGGUGCGAGCGUUAAUCGGAAUUACUGGGCGUAAAGCGUGCGCAGGCGGUAUCGCAAGUCAGGCGUGAAAUCCCCGAGCUCAACUUGGGAAUUGCGCUUGAAACUAUGAUGCUGGAGUGUGGCAGAGGGAGGUGGAAUUCCACGUGUAGCGGUGAAAUGCGUAGAGAUGUGGAGGAACACCGAUGGCGAAGGCAGCCUCCUGGGCCAACACUGACGCUCAUGCACGAAAGCGUGGGGAGCAAACAGGAUUAGAUACCCUGGUAGUCCACGCCCUAAACGAUGACGACUAGUUGUUGGGGGAGUUAAAUCCCUCAGUAACGCAGCUAACGCGUGAAGUCGUCCGCCUGGGGAGUACGGUCGCAAGAUUAAAACUUAAAGGAAUUGACGG
This 397-nucleotide ribosomal RNA is filed under the name uncultured bacterium. Its description in RNAcentral is "bacterial SSU rRNA". It matches the Rfam family "Bacterial small subunit ribosomal RNA", at positions 521 to 916 of the family's 1533-position model. The record is from RNAcentral.